Molecule: ribosomal RNA, 568 nt
Filed under: uncultured bacterium
Lineage: Bacteria
Description: bacterial SSU rRNA
Rfam family: Bacterial small subunit ribosomal RNA
Source: RNAcentral
CCUACGGGAGGCAGCAGUGGGGAAUAUUGGGCAAUGGAGGAAACUCUGACCCAGCGACGCCGCGUGAGGGAUAAAGGCCUUCGGGUUGUAAACCUCUUUCAGUAGGGAAGAAGCGAAAGUGACGGUACCUACAGAAGAAGCACCGGCUAACUAUGUGCCAGCAGCCGCGGUAAUACAUAGGGUGCAAGCGUUGUCCGGAAUUAUUGGGCGUAAAGAGCUCGUAGGUGGUUCGAUACGUCGGAUGUGAAAAUCAGGGGCUCAACCCCUGACCUGCAUCCGAUACGGUCGAGCUAGAGUUUGGUAGGGGAGACUGGAAUUCCUGGUGUAGCGGUGGAAUGCGCAGAUAUCAGGAGGAACACCGAUGGCGAAGGCAGGUCUCUGGGCCAAUACUGACACUGAGGAGCGAAAGCGUGGGGAGCGAACAGGAUUAGAUACCCUGGUAGUCCACGCCGUAAACGGUGGGCGCUAGUUGUGCGAACCUUCCACGGUUUGUGCGACGCAGCUAACGCAUUAAGCGCCCCGCCUGGGGAGUACGGAUCGCAAGAUUAAAACUCAAAUGAAUUGACGG